UCGAGUGGGGUCCAGUGGCUUCACACAGCCAG
This 32-nucleotide non-coding RNA is filed under the name Mus musculus (house mouse). Lineage: Eukaryota; Metazoa; Chordata; Mammalia; Rodentia; Muridae. The record is from RNAcentral.